Molecule: ribosomal RNA, 484 nt
Filed under: uncultured bacterium
Lineage: Bacteria
Description: partial 16S ribosomal RNA
Rfam family: Bacterial small subunit ribosomal RNA
Source: RNAcentral
AUUGAACGCUAGCGGGAUGCUUUACACAUGCAAGUCGAACGGCAGCGCGGACUUCGGUCUGGCGGCGAGUGGCGAACGGGUGAGUAAUGUAUCGGAACGUGCCCAGUAGCGGGGGAUAACUACGCGAAAGCGUAGCUAAUACCGCAUACGCCCUACGGGGGAAAGCAGGGGAUCGUAAGACCUUGCACUAUUUGAGCGGCCGAUAUCGGAUUAGCUAGUUGGUGAGGUAACGGCUCACCAAGGCGACGAUCCGUAGCUGGUUUGAGAGGACGACCAGCCACACUGGAACUGAGACACGGCCCAGACUCCUACGGGAGGCAGCAGUGGGGAAUUUUGGACAAUGGGGGAAACCCUGAUCCAGCCAUCCCGCGUGUGCGAUGAAGGCCUUCGGGUUGUAAAGCACUUUUGGCAGGAAAGAAACGUCGCGGGCUAAUACCCCGUGGAACUGACGGUACCUGCAGAAUAAGCACCGGCUAACUACGUG